RNAcentral lists this long non-coding RNA (6186 nucleotides) under Homo sapiens (human). RNAcentral describes it as "HSALNT0001002". The record is from RNAcentral. Lineage: Eukaryota; Metazoa; Chordata; Mammalia; Primates; Hominidae.
CAACGUUGUGAGACCAGCACAGCUUUUCUCCAGUUCCCUUAGCCCCUUGUAGACUCCUUACUGGGAAGACCACUAACAGCACCAGGAGGAAAUGCUGCAGCUUGCCUCAAAUCCUGGUCCAGCCGCGUGUCUGCUGGUGACUACAACAACCCUCUUAACGGAUCUGAGCCUUCGUUCCCUCAUCUGUGAGGUAGGGCUGAGGGUGCUGUCCACCUGCCCAGGCUGGUGGGGAACGUGCAAUGAGAUGAUCCCUGUAACAUGCUUGGCAUGAAGCUAGGCACAGUGUAGGUGUGAAUAUAUGAGAGCUGAUUAAAUUAACCAACCUUAUUCCUCCGCAUCAUGACUUACCAGCUACUACCCCACCUGUGUCCUGUAGAACCAGGCUUGCAAAGCCUCUGCUACAUACUAAAGCCAGGGAGAGGCCACUGAUGGGCAAAAAGAGGAGGACAGAGACCUGGAAAACACUAACAAGGGCCCAGUAUAUGCAUAGGAAGCAGACGGCUGAUGUUCAGGUGGAGUUCAGGUUCAGUAUGCUCCAGCAGCACCCAUCGGAGAACCCAUUGGUAAGAGGCUUUGGAACAGAUGAUUUUCUAAAGCUAUAACUGUGGGUGGCUUAUAGGGGUAGUGUGGCCACUGUGACACAUAGGUCCCAUGCCAUACAGGACCUUGGAGCCCUGUCCAAAGCAGUGAUGGGAAAUGCACGUGACUGGGGGCUCUCAGUCUAGGGGAACUAGGAGGGCUUCAGAUCCCAGAGCCUGGCUGAAGCCCCAGCAGGACCACAGUGAUGUCUUGUCUUGGGAAAGUGUGUGCCCUGCCCCCAGAGACACCUGGACUUUUCAGCUCAGCGCUGCGGCAAGCACCCUAGCACAUGCCACCCAGGGCUUCCCAGAGGGUGGCCCCGAGUCAGGCAGUACACUAAAGGUUGGGACUCAAGUGGAAAGUUUGCUGAGAGAGUGAACAGGGGAAGUUGUUGAUCCUGGCCUCAUCUGCCAUUGCUCUCUGGGCACCCUGGCGCUGAGCCAGCCUCGGCUGCUGGCCUCCCUCAGCUGCUGGCCUCCCUCAGUUGCUGGCCUCCCUCAGCUGCUGGCCUCCCUGCUGGGGGUCUGCACCAGGUAGAGUGCUGUUUGGCUGAGAUUCACACACACAAAAAAUCUCAUUAAGCGGUGGAUUAAACAAAAUUGGGGCUUAUUUCUUUCUCUUAUAACAAAAGCCCAGAGGUAGGUGGCUGUAUUAGUCAGGGUUCUCUAGAGGAACAGAACUAAUAGGAUCUACGUAUAUACGAAAGGGAGUUUAUUAAGGAGAAUUGACUCAAAGGAUCACAAGGCGAAGUCCCACGAUAGGCCGUCUGCAGGCGGAGGAGCAAGGAAGCCAGUGGUGGAUCAGUCCAGGUCCCAAAACCUCAAAAGCAGGGAAGCCAACAGUGCAGCCUUCAGUCUGUGGCCAAAGGCUCAAGAGCCCCCAGCAAGCCACUGGUGUAAGUCCAAGAGUCCAAAAGCUGAAGAACCUGGAGUCUGAUGUUCAAGGGCAGGAAGCAUCCCGCGUGGGAGGAAAGAUGAAAGCCAGAAGACUCAGCAAGCCAGCUUCUUCCACUUUCUUCCACCUACAUUUUUUAAGCUGCGCUGGCAGCCCAUUGGAUGGUGCCCACGCAGAUUGAGGAUGGGUCCACCUCUCCCAGUCCACUGACCCCAGUGUUUAUCUCCUCUGGCAACACCCUCACAGACACACCCAGAAACAAUACUUUUCAUCCUUCAAUUCAAUCAAGUUGACACUCAAUAAUCACAUCAAGCAUCCAAUGGACAGUCAUCUGAACACCUCUCCAGAUACAUCGCCACUGUGCAGGGCUUGGGCUGGCAGAGGGUGCUGCAUAAAGACCCAACUUCAAAAGGGAAUGAGAGAAACAGAGCAGUUCAUGAUGCCCCAAGUCUCCCUUUAAAAUCCUUCCGAGCAGGAAUUAUCACAAAGACUCCCCACCCUGGCAGCAGGGUGAGCUCCUUGGUGACCCCACAGGCAGCCCUGGCCCUGCUCUCUGAAGCACUUCCCGGGCUUGUCAUCCCGUGUCCCCUGGCUUUGUGCCCUGGAAGGCCCUUCCUUGUGCAGCACCCCUCAUGGCUCAACUGAAGCAAGCGUAGGAUGCUACACUCCUUGGGCAAUACACAGAUUUUGCAGCCAUCUUCUCCAGAUAUAGUUUUGAAGACCAUCACAGGCUAUUGUAGGCCCCACUUGUGGCACAUUUUUGGACAGUAACAGCCCCUCAAAAUGUAUUUGCUUCCUGUCUGUUCCAUGUGCAAGUAACCAUCCCCUCAAUCUGCUUACAGUCAUGAUCUUAAACGGACCAAGUCUCCUUUUCUGUUUCCAGGAUUUCUUGGUUGACCAGGUCUACGCUUCUGCACUAGUUCUCAAGAGCUGCUGUAACAAAGUGCCACAAACUAGGUGACUUAAAACAACAGGAAGUGAUCCUCUUAUAGUUCUGGAGGCUACAAGUCAGAAAUCAAAGUGUUGGCAGGGCCACGUGCCCUCAAAGGCUGUAGGGGACAAUCCGCUCCUUGCUCAUCCAGCCUCUGCUGGUUUCUAGCAGUCUUGAUGUUCCUCGGCUCCUGCCAGCAUCCUUGAAAUCUCCGCCUUCAUCUUCGCAUGGCUUUCUUUCUUGUUUCGGUGUCCAAGUUUCUUCCUUUUUAUAAGGACACCAGUCCUAUUGGAUUUAGAGUCCAUCCUAAUUCAUUACGGCCUGAUUACAACUGCUAAGACCCCUUUUUUAAAAAAUAAGGUUACAUUCACAAGUUCCAGGUGGACAUUAAUUACAAGGCAACACUAUUUAACUCGGUGCACCCUCUGUCUUUUUAUUUCAUGAUGUCUCCCCAAGGCCUUCUGAAACAGUAGGCUUGGUAGGGAGGCAGCACUCUUGCUCAGCUCAUGGAAGCUAAGGAGGCACCUAGAGACCCUUGCACCUACUGCUGCCUGAGAUACAGGAGCAGAUGGCUUUUCUAAUCUUGUGAGAAUCCAGACUUCUGGAUUUUAAAUCAAUUUAGAUUGCAGGUCUCAGCUUGUAAGCUUCUCUUAACCGAAGUCAAUUUUCUUCUAUACCUGUUUACAAAGCCAUGGGUUCUCACCUGAAUUUCUCUCUUUUGUAUUUUGCUAAAAGCAACAAAGAGCAGCCAACACUCUGAGUUUUUCCAGCAGAUUCCUGGUGAGACAAAGUCGAGAAGGUGGAUAGGAAAGUGGUCUGCUUUCCAAGUUAUCCCAGGGGACAGGUCUACCAAAAUUUGCAAAACACAGCAAGGGUGAACAGCUUCCAAACCUGCAGCGUCUAGACCCUCACCUCCUGCACCAACUGCUACGCCAGUGGUGUACAUUUUAGUUCUUCGUUUUGGUAGCACCCCACUUCUGGCACUAGUUUCUGUAUCUGUUAGGGUAGAAGCUAAGCUGCUAAAAUAAAGAGACCCAACCAUAGUGAUUUUGAUAAUGCAGAUCUUUUCACUCUCUCAUUUUACCAUGCAGGGGUGAAAAACCAGGGCUGGAAGGUGGCUGGGUCACCUUUAACUUGUUGUUACAUGACCACACGGAGCUGCAAGGGAGGGUGGGUUAUGCAGUCUGAAGCCAGACCACGUGCACAGCCAGAAUGUGUAUGGGGUUCUACUAAGUUUGAAAAGGAAAAAAGGCAUCACUGAUAUCAGAAGAUUGAUUUUCAAUUUUUCUCGAUCAUGUAUUUGGCGCUUUAUUGAGCUUCCAAUACCAAAUCUCCCUGGCUCCGUGCUGCCAUUUCUGCCUGAAUAUUUUCAAGGAAACUGAGCACCAGAGGUGUAGAGUAACUUUCCUGAAGUCACAGAGCAAUGUGGAGGUAGAGGUGGAGUCAGUGUCCAGAUCUACCAGGAGCCAAUCAGUCUGAGUCUAUCUGGGCGGCUACCACAAAAUACCACAGACUGAGUGGCCUAUAAACAACAGACGCUUACUUCUCUUAUUUAUCUCUGGAGGCUGGGAAGUCCACAAUCACGGGGCUGGCACAUUCAGCAUCUGGGCAGGGCUACUCUCUCUUUUAACAUGGCUCAUUUUUGCUGUGUCCUCACAUGGGGCUGGCAGAUGGCUGGGUCACCCUUAAUUUGUUGUUAAUUUCCAUGGUUCCUCCAAUUUGUUGUCACUCUUCCCAAAGGGCAGGGACUGAAAGAGUCUAUGGGAGCUUCUUCAGGGACACAACUCAGAAGUUGUAUGCAUCCCCUCUGCUCAUGUUCCAGUGGGCUGAGCUUUGUCACAUGACCACAUCUAGCUGCAAGGGAGGGUGGGAGAUACAGUCUGAAGCCAGAGAGCCAUGCGCACAGCUAGAAUGUGUGUGGGGCCAGAGGGGAUGAACGCUGUGUCCUUACAUGGCAGAGAAGAUGGAAGGCAAAAGGGACUAGGGUGCUUGCUACAACCUCUUUGAUGAGAGCAGAAAGCCAUUCAUGAGGGGGGAGUUCUCAUCAUUUAGUAACUUCCCUGAAAGCUCCACCUCUGAAUACCAUCACUUUGGGGUUUAAGUUCCAACAUGAAUUUUGGAGGGACACGUACAUUCAAACCACACCACAACCUGAUGCUCAUUUCCUCUUCCCUCCACCACAGGGUGAGACAAUCCUGCACCACAGGCAAUAAAGAGACCGUGAUAAGCAAAACCAUCCAUCUGGCUGUGGUUUGGCAUGCACCCCACUGGUCUCUUGAUUUUUCCCAAUUUCCCGUCUGGAGGGGGCCAUAGCCUAGGCCAGAAGAUGUUCUUUUCCCCCCAUGAACCUCAACAAAUCACCAAGUAUGUAAUGGAGGAAAACCGAAAAUCAAUCAUCUGAUAACAGUUCUGCCUUUUUCCUUGCUAUUAGUAGAACUCCACAUACCUGCUGUGCCCCUGGCUAUCUGGCUUCAGAGUACAUCUCCCACCUCCCUUGUAGCUGGAUGUGGUCAUGUGACAAAGGUCAGCCCAAUGGAACAUUUGAGCAGAGGGCAUGUGUACACCUUCUGAGUCCUGAGACCUAAAUGCAACCCAUUCUCCAAAAUCCAGUUUGCAUGCCCCCUCCUCCAGGAAGUCCUCUUUGACUACUGCAGUUUUUUGUUUUGCAAUACCCGUUUUCUAUAGUAUAUUGUUUCUGUGUUGUUCCCAUUGAUACAAAUGGUAUCCUCUUGAGGGCUGUUUAGCAAUUGUUUCAUCUUUCCCUAAUCCUGAGCCUCCCCUGUGUCUGCCACGGAGCCCAUGGCCUGCCCUCACUCCCUGGGUCUUGAGUGGGCUCCCCUCCUCUGUGCCUCCUCUGCUCCCAUCCUUACCUGCAUCAUUGACUUAUCCUGAUCAACUUUUAAGUCAACUGGUUACUUGUCUGCCUCACCCUCAAGAUCACAACCACUUUGACAGCAAGGACUUUGCUUUAAAGUUUUCUAGGGCUGACAUAACAAAGCUCCACAGACUCGGGGUCUUGAACAAGAGGGAUUUAUUUUCCCAUAGUCUUCCAGGCUGAAAGUUCAAGAUCAAAGUGUCGGCACGGUUGGUGGCUCCCGAGGCCCCGUCCUUGGCUUGCAGAUGCCGUCUUCUCCUUGUGUCUUAUCAUCUUCCCUCUCUGCAUGUCUGUGUUCUAAUCCCCUCUUUCUAUAAGGAUGUCAGUCCUCUUGGAUUCGGGCCCACCCUAAUGACCUCAUUUUAACUUAAUCACCUCUGCAAAGAUCUUAUCUCCGAACAUAAUCACAUUCUGAGUCCUUGGGGGUUACAGCUUCAACAUGAAUUUUUUUUGGGAAACACAAAACAGACUUGUUCCUUGUAGCCUACGUGCUCUGGCCCCUAGUACAGAACCUCUCUAAUGGGCCAUGUGGUAGCAGUCACUGGGUACCUGAAUGAAUGUUUAAAACACGAAGAACUGAUCUGACAGCUGGCACUGCUUUGGUGAUAAUUUAUCACAUCGAUCUUUCGGGUUCAGAGCGAGGGCACCCCAACCCCAGAGCAAAGGAGCUCCUGAGGUGGUGGCCAACAGAAAGCUGGAAGGGAGGCCCAGCUGCACUCCAGGAGAGCAGACCCAGCUGUUUCAGGGGCUCUGAGCCAUGUCUGACAACAUUCAAUGUGUUCAUGGAAAAUAGAAUCAGCCCAAUACACCUAAGCGGAGAGGAGGGUUUCUUAAGUGAGAGCUUUUUCCCCAAAAGAGGCGGGUGCUCCGAGGUCAGGAGAUCGAGACCAUCCCGGCUAAAACGGUG